This 1294-nucleotide ribosomal RNA is filed under the name Escherichia coli. Its description in RNAcentral is "partial 23S ribosomal RNA". It matches the Rfam family "Bacterial large subunit ribosomal RNA", at positions 381 to 1680 of the family's 2925-position model. Lineage: Bacteria; Pseudomonadati; Pseudomonadota; Gammaproteobacteria; Enterobacterales; Enterobacteriaceae. The record is from RNAcentral.
AAAAAUGCACAUGCUGUGAGCUCGAUGAGUAGGGCGGGACACGUGGUAUCCUGUCUGAAUAUGGGGGGACCAUCCUCCAAGGCUAAAUACUCCUGACUGACCGAUAGUGAACCAGUACCGUGAGGGAAAGGCGAAAAGAACCCCGGCGAGGGGAGUGAAAAAGAACCUGAAACCGUGUACGUACAAGCAGUGGGAGCACGCUUAGGCGUGUGACUGCGUACCUUUUGUAUAAUGGGUCAGCGACUUAUAUUCUGUAGCAAGGUUAACCGAAUAGGGGAGCCGAAGGGAAACCGAGUCUUAACUGGGCGUUAAGUUGCAGGGUAUAGACCCGAAACCCGGUGAUCUAGCCAUGGGCAGGUUGAAGGUUGGGUAACACUAACUGGAGGACCGAACCGACUAAUGUUGAAAAAUUAGCGGAUGACUUGUGGCUGGGGGUGAAAGGCCAAUCAAACCGGGAGAUAGCUGGUUCUCCCCGAAAGCUAUUUAGGUAGCGCCUCGUGAAUUCAUCUCCGGGGGUAGAGCACUGUUUCGGCAAGGGGGUCAUCCCGACUUACCAACCCGAUGCAAACUGCGAAUACCGGAGAAUGUUAUCACGGGAGACACACGGCGGGUGCUAACGUCCGUCGUGAAGAGGGAAACAACCCAGACCGCCAGCUAAGGUCCCAAAGUCAUGGUUAAGUGGGAAACGAUGUGGGAAGGCCCAGACAGCCAGGAUGUUGGCUUAGAAGCAGCCAUCAUUUAAAGAAAGCGUAAUAGCUCACUGGUCGAGUCGGCCUGCGCGGAAGAUGUAACGGGGCUAAACCAUGCACCGAAGCUGCGGCAGCGACGCUUAUGCGUUGUUGGGUAGGGGAGCGUUCUGUAAGCCUGUGAAGGUGUGCUGUGAGGCAUGCUGGAGGUAUCAGAAGUGCGAAUGCUGACAUAAGUAACGAUAAAGCGGGUGAAAAGCCCGCUCGCCGGAAGACCAAGGGUUCCUGUCCAACGUUAAUCGGGGCAGGGUGAGUCGACCCCUAAGGCGAGGCCGAAAGGCGUAGUCGAUGGGAAACAGGUUAAUAUUCCUGUACUUGGUGUUACUGCGAAGGGGGGACGGAGAAGGCUAUGUUGGCCGGGCGACGGUUGUCCCGGUUUAAGCGUGUAGGCUGGUUUUCCAGGCAAAUCCGGAAAAUCAAGGCUGAGGCGUGAUGACGAGGCACUACGGUGCUGAAGCAACAAAUGCCCUGCUUCCAGGAAAAGCCUCUAAGCAUCAGGUAACAUCAAAUCGUACCCCAAACCGACACAGGUGGUCAGGUAGAGAAUA